UACGUAGGGGGCAAGCGUUAUCCGGAUUUACUGGGUGUAAAGGGAGCGCAGGCGGUCUUGCAAGUCUGAUGUGAAAGCCCGCGGCUCAACUGCGGGACUGCAUUGGAAACUGUGGGACUUGAGUGUCGGAGGGGCAAGUGGAAUUCCUAGUGUAGCGGUGAAAUGCGUAGAUAUUAGGAGGAACACCAGUGGCGAAGGCGGCUUGCUGGACGACAACUGACGCUGAGGCUCGAAAGCGUGGGGAGCAAACAGG
RNAcentral lists this ribosomal RNA (253 nucleotides) under uncultured bacterium. RNAcentral describes it as "partial 16S ribosomal RNA". It matches the Rfam family "Bacterial small subunit ribosomal RNA", at positions 524 to 776 of the family's 1533-position model. The record is from RNAcentral.